This 474-nucleotide long non-coding RNA is filed under the name Mytilus galloprovincialis (Mediterranean mussel). Lineage: Eukaryota; Metazoa; Mollusca; Bivalvia; Mytilida; Mytilidae. The record is from RNAcentral.
AAUCCAAAACUUAAAAUCUGAAAUUUAUAAAAAUUGAAAGGGAGCUUACAUCAAUAGAUAUAAACAAUUCACCAAAGUUUGAUGGACAUUGGUGAAAGCCUUUUUGAGUUAUUGUCCGGAGUGUUGAAAAUCCCCCUUUUUUUAUGAAUAAAGCCCCAUAAAUCCAAAACUUAAAAUCUGAAAUUAAAAAAAAACAAAAGGGGGCUUACAUCAAUAGAUAUAAACAAUUCACUUAAGUUUCAUGGACAGUGGUGAAAGCCUUUUUGAGUUAUUGUCCGAAGUGUUGAAAAUCCCCCUUUUUUUUAUGAAUAAAGCCCCAUAAAUCCAAAACUUAAAAUCUGAAAUUUAUAAAAAUUGAAAGGAGCUUAUAUCAAUAGAUAUAAACAAUUCACCAAAGUUUCAUGGACAUUGGUGAAAGCCUUUUUGAGUUAUUGUCCGGAGUGUUGAAAAUCCCCCUUUUUUUAUGAAUAAAGC